Molecule: long non-coding RNA, 985 nt
Filed under: Homo sapiens (human)
Lineage: Eukaryota; Metazoa; Chordata; Mammalia; Primates; Hominidae
Description: HSALNT0351652
Source: RNAcentral
ACCCAUGCUGGCCCCAGGACCCCAGCCCCAGGCCAGACCCUCCAGUGCUCCUGCUGACCUUCCGUGUCUGCAGCCCGGCUUUGGACUGUGGAGAUGCCCUCAGCCUCUACUCAGUGGCUCCAGCCUCAUAUUUGCGUGCUAUACCUUUAACCUCAAGUCCUCUUGCUGCUAACUUAAGCUGCGACUGUCCAGGACCUGCACACACACACACAUGCACGCAUGCACACACACACACACAGAAGGUGAACACACAGGAUGAGGCCCUGAAAACUCAUUUCACCCGUGUACCUCACCCAAAAAUUCCCCUUUGUACUCCUAUCUUUAUCUCUAACUGACAGCAUGAAGGUAGCCCGAAGUCCCCUCACCCUGUCUGUCCUCCUGAUUCUCUAGCCCAGUUCCCUCUAGCUCCAGCACAGACUCUUAUCUCCAGCCCUGACUGCCGAAACCCUCCAGCCCCAGCUCCAGCCCCUCAGGAGGGGACUGCGUGGGAGGAAUGACUCCAGCAAGCCGGCAGCUGACCCGUCUCCUGCCUGCACGCCUCCCGCUGUGGUCCACUGCCGGUGGUCUUCAGCUCUCUCCUCGUCCCACCCCCAUGGUCUGCUGACAGCCCAGCUCAGUGCAUCCCUGCCAUCUCUGCUCUACCGCUGGUCCUCCCAACAACCAACUUACAGGGUUUCACUCCCGUCACCCAGACUGGAGUACAAUGGUGCGAUCUCAGCUCACUGCAACCUCUGCCUCCUGGGCUUAAGCGAUUCUCCUGCCUUGGCCUCCCAAGUAGCUGGGAUUACAGGUGCCUGCCACCACUCCUGGCUAAUUUUUGUAUUUUUUGUAAAGGCGGAGUUUCUCCAUGUUGCCCAGGCUAGUCUCAAACUCCUGAGCUCAAGCAAUCCACCCGCCUCGGCCUCCCAAAUAAGUGGAAUUAUAGGUGUGAGCCACCACGCCGGCCCUGAUGUAUCAAUAUUAAAACAUUUUCUUCAGCCUACAA